RNAcentral lists this ribosomal RNA (253 nucleotides) under uncultured bacterium. RNAcentral describes it as "partial 16S ribosomal RNA". It matches the Rfam family "Bacterial small subunit ribosomal RNA", at positions 524 to 776 of the family's 1533-position model. The record is from RNAcentral.
GACGAACCGUCCAAACGUUAUUCGGAAUCACUGGGCUUACAGAGUUCGUAGGCGGUCUGGAAAGUUGGGUGUGAAAUCCCUCGGCUCAACCGAGGAACUGCGCUUGAAACUACCAGACUCGAGGGAGAUAGAGGAAAGCGGAACUGAUGGUGGAGCGGUGAAAUGCGUUGAUAUCAUCAGGAACACCGGUGGCGAAGGCGGCUUUCUGGGUCUUACCUGACGCUGAGGAGCGAAAGCGUGGGUAGCGAACAGG